AAUGCUUGUGAUGAAAAUAUCAAGCUCCCUCUUCUGAAAUGAAAGUUGAGGGCGAUCGCUAGCAGAAUCGAACCUAUUAAUUAAACGCCACCACUGAGUAA
Molecule: small nucleolar RNA, 101 nt
Filed under: Macleaya cordata
Lineage: Eukaryota; Viridiplantae; Streptophyta; Magnoliopsida; Ranunculales; Papaveraceae
Description: Small nucleolar RNA R30/Z108
Rfam family: Small nucleolar RNA R30/Z108
About the family: snoR30 is a C/D box small nucleolar RNA which acts as a methylation guide for 18S ribosomal RNA in plants.
Source: Rfam by way of RNAcentral